GAUGUCAGCUCUGCAGUGAUGGGUAAACUAAAGGAGUUUAUAAAAAUGGAAACCUAAAAUUCCAAGUUACAGAGUUAAAGAAACUGUCCAUGGGAUGGGUGGUGUAGGUUGUUCCAUGAAGAAAACACCAGAUAUCUGUCUUAGUUAAAAAGAUAGACUCUGGACUUCUUUGUUCAUCCACCCACUUCUGUUCAAGAAUGUAUGUUUGGCCUUGAGAACUUGAC
This is a long non-coding RNA of Balaenoptera acutorostrata (minke whale), 224 nucleotides long. RefSeq lists it as uncharacterized. Lineage: Eukaryota; Metazoa; Chordata; Mammalia; Artiodactyla; Balaenopteridae. The transcript has 3 exons. The record is from RefSeq and is a predicted model, not a curated record.